This 536-nucleotide long non-coding RNA is filed under the name Columba livia (rock pigeon). RNAcentral describes it as "partial uncharacterized LOC102090292, transcript variant X1". Lineage: Eukaryota; Metazoa; Chordata; Aves; Columbiformes; Columbidae. The record is from RNAcentral.
UGCGUGUGCGCGCAGGAAGGAAGGGCCCUUCCGGCGGGACGCCCGGGCCAAAACCUCGUUUGUCCCGCUGCCUUAACCAAGAAGCUUGAGGAGCAGCAGGAGAGGCGGCGUGUGCCCUGUCGGCAGUGCUGAAGUAGCACGGAGACACUGGGGCACAGACGGAUGAGAGGCUGUGCCAAGAUCAGCGCUGGCUGGGCCACCAAAACUGCUGCACAGUAAACUGCUAAAAUGAGACCCUGGAUGUACAGAAAUGCAACUUCAACUAAAUGAUGAAUAUUAACUAUGGCAGCAUCCAGAGAGAAUGGAAUUUGUCACAUCAACACUGAUACUGCAGCUAAGCUUCAGUGCUUUAUAUGGGACUGUUUGGUGGAAGAGGAAACUGCAGUACUGAAAGCAGUCGGUGCUUGAAUGCAUGAGACCAUGACCUCUCACAGAAAGCAAAGAAUGUCUUCAGAAACUUAAAGAAAUACAAACUCAGUUAAAUCCUUUCAAGGUUCUUCUUCACAAGGCAACAAUAAACCAGUGUUUCACUUUUC